Molecule: ribosomal RNA, 466 nt
Filed under: uncultured bacterium
Lineage: Bacteria
Description: partial 16S ribosomal RNA
Rfam family: Bacterial small subunit ribosomal RNA
Source: RNAcentral
AACGAACGCUGGCGGUAUGCUUAACACAUGCAAGUCGAACGAACAAAAUUGGGGCUUGCUCCAAUUUUAGUGAGUGGCAAACGGGUGAGUAACACGUGGGAAUCUACCUAUCAGUACGGAAUAACAUUUGGAAACAGAUGCUAAUACCGUAUAUUCUCUAAGGAGGAAAGAUUUAUCGCUGAUAGAUGAGCCCGCGUAAGAUUAGGUAGUUGGUAGGGUAAUGGCCUACCAAGCCGACGAUCUUUAGCUGGUCUGAGAGGAUGAUCAGCCACACUGGGACUGAGACACGACCCAGACUCCCACGGGAGGCAGCAGUGGGGAAUAUUGGACAAUGGGCGAAAGCCUGAUCCAGCAAUACCGCGUGAAUGAUGAAGGCCUUAGGGUUGUAAAGUUCUUUUAGUUGGAAAGAUAAUGACGGUACCAACAGAAAAAGCCCCGGCUAACUCCGUGCCAGCCGCCGCGGUAA